This is an RNA transcript of Peromyscus californicus insignis, 2762 nucleotides long. It is a transcript of the gene named B9 domain containing 1, with no coding region annotated. The transcript has 7 exons. Lineage: Eukaryota; Metazoa; Chordata; Mammalia; Rodentia; Cricetidae. The record is from RefSeq and is a predicted model, not a curated record.
GACCUGGACUCCACAGACUGAGCUCCCUCAAGUGUACACCUUUGUGUCCAGGCUCUCCAAUACUUAAUGUAGUCUCUAAUGUUUCCUUGUGAAAUUCUGCAUGUGAAGCCUAAAUUACUGCAAUGAAUAUGGCCAAAUUACCCCCCUGGGUCUGAAUUUCAGUUUCUUCCUCCAGAAACGGAGAUACAUUCAAUUAUUCAUUCAAGACGUAGUUCCCAAGUGUUUACCAUGGCCUUGCCAAUAAGGCCAGGCACUUGGGGAUCUAGAGGCAGAGGCUAGCAUUAAGCCACCUUGGAUUGGACAGUGAUGAGAGUCCGGUUGGAGCCAAGGGAUGACAGCUGCGUCUACUGGGUAGGAUGCUGGUUGGUGGCUUGGGACCCAGCUUGGGACCCUGAGCAGCCAGUGAUUCUCCAAAAAUGGGUGACAGGUACGUGGAUCGCUGCCUCUCCGUGGGCCCUAGUUUCACAUGGGGCGGGAGCUUGGACUGGAGGAUUCUAGGGGUUUCAAGGACAAGAGCCUCAAAGACCUGAAGGGCAUACCCUUCACCUGGGGCAGGGCGCAAAGCGAUGCCUGCUGGACCACUCAGUGCCUCCGGCCCUCCGACCGCCGCCGCCUCGUGCGGCCACAGCGACACCUUCUGGCCAGAGGUAACUCUAGCACGUGACUUUCCGCGGGUCUGAGUCCGGCAGCGGCUUCUCAUCACCCAGUUCUCUUCAAACAUGGCCAGGCUAGUGUAGUUACAGUUACCGCGGGUCUGAGGAUCCAACCUUGGAGGUUAAUUUCACACGACUGGAACAGAAGACCGUCUUUAUGGCCUCCAAGAAUACUGCGCCUGCGCACUCUAGUUCUUGAACGAAAUCGGCACCGCUGAGAAAUUUGUCCCAGAUGGCUUGCCAUCUGUUUCCAAGGCAACCCGGGAGUCUCCUGGCAACGGCAGGGCGCGCGGCCUGCGCGGGUCUCCCGGCCCAGCGGUGCGUAGGAUGGCUGCAGCGAGUCCCAGCGUCUUCCUGCUCAUGGUCAACGGGCAGGUAGAGAGCGCCCAGUUUCCAGAAUAUGACGACCUCUACUGCAAGUACUGCUUCGUGUACGGCCAGGACUGGGCCCCCACAGCGGGUCUGGAGGAGGGCAUCUCACAGAUAGCAUCCAAGAGCCAAGAUGUACGACAAGCACUGGUGUGGAACUUCCCCAUCGAUGUCACCUUUAAAAGUACCAACCCCUAUGGCUGGCCACAGAUCGUGCUCAGUGUGUAUGGACCAGACGUGUUUGGGAACGAUGUGGUCCGAGGCUACGGAGCGGUGCAUGUACCCUUCUCUCCUGGACGGCACAAGAGGACCAUCCCCAUGUUUGUGCCGGAGUCCACAUCUACGCUGCAGAAGUUCACAAGGUGGGUCCUUCUGUCUGCAGCCUUGCUGCCUCCUGAUCUAAUGGGUAACUAACAGGCCAGCACCUCCCACCCUCCCGAGACCUGGGAACCACACAGGUCUUCACGUGGCUGCACCUAGAGACAGCUGGAAACAGGUAUGCAGACAGGAACACUGCUGAGUCCUCGGGCUUCCUUGGACCACUUUCUGGCAGCUUAAGUCUGCGAGGCUUUCUGCUGUGCCCUUUGAGCCUGUCACAUGGAAACGCUGUUUGUCUGGCUGCAGCAGCAAGAGGCAAACUCCUUAUGACAGCCACAGUGACCCAAUAUUAUGAGCAUGUACUAAAUGCUUUCCACAUGGUACCUCGGGGAGUCAAGCAGCAGCCGUGAAGCAUCUUGGGAGCAUGUUCUACACACCAGGCACUAAGAGCUCUUGCUCUCUUGAGGAAAACAUGAGUUAGGAGCAGCCAGAAAGAUGCUGCUGCCAGCAAGUGUGAAGAGAGUUGGGGGGCAGGGGUGUAGGGAGGAGGCAGUGAGAAGGUCCCAGAGGACAGGACAGAAAUCUUGGAGAUGGCCCAAAGGGGAGGUCUCUGCCACAUCCAAAUAGGAGUUGGAGGGAUCUGCUAGCCCAGCUUAGCUGCAUGCCACCUCUGCUCCCCAGCAUGUUGACAGGGAUGAAAGGGAAGUGAAGGGCCCCUAGGUUCCCAGGGAGCAGCCAAUGAGCAUCCCCUUGCAAGCUAGUAUCAGGUAGAGAGGAUGUGGAGAAGGGAGCCUGGACCCCAGUUUUGAGAGGGCUGAAGAAAGGUUCUGGGCUGUAGGACAGACUUAGCGCUGACUGCACCUUGCCUAUGCAUACCUGGAUGACCCAGGAUAAUUCCCACUUUGCAGCAUCCUGGUACCUCCUCCAUAGACCCUCUUCACAGAUAGCCACGUUCUCGGUGUCGUCAGUCCUUACCCAGUAUCCCUAGAGCUGUUACUCGACCCGUUGUGGCCUCUCCACCUUAGUCUUUGCAGAGCCCUUAGGGUGGUGUCGCUGCUGGGAGCUGCCUGGCACACCCUCUUGCAUCUAGGAGCCAGGGUGCCAGUGGCCUCUUUCUCGCUUCCCAUUUGCCUGGCCUUGGCUUUCUGAGCCCACAGGUUCUGCCCUGCGUCAGCCCUUGCCUGGAGCACGCUCCCCGAACUUGCCUGUCUCUUCUCAUGAGAAAACCACCUGUCGAUUAGAAGACAGCUGGAGGCAUGCUGAGGGUGCCUUUACUGCCAGGCCUCACUCUCUGAGACGCCUCAGUGCUGAGCUGGUUCAUGGGACGGCGGCCUGAGUACACAGACCCCAAGGUGGUGGCCCAGGGUGAAGGCCGGGAAGUGACCCGUGUCCGCUCUCAGGGCUUUGUCACCCUCCUCUUCA